This is a ribosomal RNA of 346 nucleotides. It matches the Rfam family "Microsporidia small subunit ribosomal RNA", at positions 751 to 1213 of the family's 1311-position model.
UUUGGAAUAGUACUAUUAAUGAAAUUUAACGGAUUUGGCGGCAAGAUAGCCACUUAGAGGAACCUGCCCUGUAAACGAUGAACCACGAUUAACCUUACUUUUAUUAGAAUCCAGUUUGUAUACCGCUGUUGUCAGUUAGUUUCUUUAGAAAACUUUCGUACAUGAAAAGUUCAAGGACUUCAAGUAAAGGUGCAGCUUAUGUAAAAGAUAGAGGUGGGUUACAAUUAAAAGAAUAAUAUGGAUAAAGUAGAGAAGAAACUUUUGAAGGUGGAUUUAAUAGUAAAGUUUAAAAAGACUUGAUUAGAGCUCUAUCUUGUGUACACACCGCCCGUCGCUCGCGGGAAAA